This 497-nucleotide ribosomal RNA is filed under the name uncultured bacterium. Its description in RNAcentral is "partial 16S ribosomal RNA". It matches the Rfam family "Bacterial small subunit ribosomal RNA", at positions 28 to 507 of the family's 1533-position model. The record is from RNAcentral.
GAUGAACGCUGGCGGCGUGCCUAAUACAUGCAAGUCGAGCGAACAGACGAGGAUCUUGCUCCUUUCUCGUUAGCGGCGGACGGGUGAGUCACACGUGGAUACCCUACCUAUAAGACUGGGAUAACUUCGGGAAACCGGAUCUAAUACCGGAUAAUAUAUUGCACCGCAUGGUUCAAUAGUGAAAGACGGUUUUGCUGUCACUUAUAGAUGGAUCCGCGCCGAAUUAGAUAGUUGGUACGGUAACGGCUUACCAAGGCAACGAUGCGUAGCCGACCUGAGAGGGGGAUCGGCGACAUGGGAACUGAGACACGGACAAGACGCCUAAGGGAGGCAGCAGUAGGGAAUGGGCCGCAAUGGGCGAAAGCAUGACGGAGCAACGCCGCGUGAGUGAUGAAGGUCUUCGGAUCGUAAAACUCUGUUAUGAGGGAAGAACAAAUGUGUAAGUAAAUAUGCACGUCUUGACGGUACCGAAUCAGAAAGCCACGGCUAACUACGUG